This 286-nucleotide unclassified non-coding RNA is filed under the name Hevea brasiliensis (rubber tree). The record is from RNAcentral. Lineage: Eukaryota; Viridiplantae; Streptophyta; Magnoliopsida; Malpighiales; Euphorbiaceae.
UGGACAAGAGAGAGCUGCGGCUCCAGCUACCUCUCAUAGCAAAACUCUUCUGGUUCUGAAGUUAGGACGAGAAAAUGGUGUCACCUCUCUGUCAAAAGAAGCAUCAACUCCAGCUAACAACACUGGCAAUAGACUAGCUAAUUGCCCUCCUGUUGUGACCAGUCCAACUUCAAGGGUAGCUUCCCUUGAAACCAAGGCUGUCGCAUUGUCACUGAAGCCACGGUUUCCUGCAGAGAAGAGAUAUUCUCUUUCUCAAGCCCAAAGCAGGAGUGAUUUUUUCAAUUUA